This 73-nucleotide transfer RNA is filed under the name Facklamia sp. 252. It matches the Rfam family "tRNA". From Rfam's summary of the family: Transfer RNA (tRNA) molecules are approximately 80 nucleotides in length. Lineage: Bacteria; Bacillati; Bacillota; Bacilli; Lactobacillales; Aerococcaceae. The record is from Rfam by way of RNAcentral. RNAcentral also lists the same sequence under 2 other names.
GGUUCAUUAGCUCAGUUGGGAGAGCACCAGCUCGACAAGCUGGGGGUCGCUGGUUCGAACCCGGCAUGGACCA